RNAcentral lists this ribosomal RNA (282 nucleotides) under Streptomyces sp. s1sp1. Its description in RNAcentral is "partial 16S ribosomal RNA". Lineage: Bacteria; Bacillati; Actinomycetota; Actinomycetes; Kitasatosporales; Streptomycetaceae. The record is from RNAcentral.
GCAUGCUCUCUGCAGUCGUCCUUGCGCUUCUUCCUGCUGAUGAGGUUUACAACCCGAAGGCCGUCAUCCCUCACGCGGCGUCGCUGCAUCAGGCUUUCGCCCAUUGUGCAAUAUUCCCCACUGCUGCCUCCCGUAGGGGGGCGGGGGCGGCGGGCCGGGCGCGGGGCGCGGCGGGCGACGCGGGGCGCGGCGGGCGACUUUGUUUAACUCUUCGAGGAGAGCCAGGGAGGAACGCCAGAGCCCGCUACUCGUCCGCACCCAUAUAGUCCGAGAACAGCCCGC